RNAcentral lists this ribosomal RNA (556 nucleotides) under uncultured bacterium. RNAcentral's name for it is "partial 16S ribosomal RNA". It matches the Rfam family "Bacterial small subunit ribosomal RNA", at positions 355 to 900 of the family's 1533-position model. The record is from RNAcentral.
UGGGGAAUCUUCCGCAAUGGACGAAAGUCUGACGGAGCAACGCCGCGUGAGUGAUGACGGCCUUCGGGUUGUAAAGCUCUGUGAUCGGGGACGAAUGGCUGGUGUGCUAAUACCACAUCAGAGUGACGGUACCCGAAUAGCAAGCCACGGCUAACUACGUGCCAGCAGCCGCGGUAAUACGUAGGUGGCAAGCGUUGUCCGGAAUUAUUGGGCGUAAAGCGCGCGCAGGCGGCUUCUUAAGUCCAUCUUAAAAAGUGCGGGGCUUAACCCCGUGAUGGGAUGGAAACUGGGAGGCUGGAGUAUCGGAGAGGAAAGUGGAAUUCCUAGUGUAGCGGUGAAAUGCGUAGAGAUUAGGAAGAACACCGGUGGCGAAGGCGACUUUCUGGACGACAACUGACGUUGAGGCGCGAAAGCGUGGGGAGCAAACAGGAUUAGAUACCCUGGUAGUCCACGCCGUAAAACGAUGAAUACUAGGUGUAGGAGGUAUCGACCCCUUCUGUGCCGGAGCUAACACAAUAAGUAUUCCGCCUGGGAAGUAUGAUCGCAAGAUUAAAAC